CGAAAGCGAGUUUUAACUGAGCGUUCAGUUACUUGACGUAGACCCGAAACCGGGCGACCUACCCAUGAGCAGGAUGAAGCGAAAGUAAAAUUUCGUGGAGGUCCGAACCCACGAGCGUUGAAAAGCUCGGGGAUGACUUGUGGGUAGCGGUGAAAUUCCAAUCGAGCCCGGAGAUAGCUGGUUCUCCCCGAAAUAGCUUUAGGGCUAGCCUCAAGGUGAGAGAUACGGAGGUAGAGCACUGAAUGUCCUAGGGGGUAUUGCACCUACCGAAGACUAUCAAACUCCGAAUGCCGUCAUCUUAUACUUGGGAGUCAGACUGUGGGUGAUAAGAUUCAUAGUCGAAAGGGCAACAGCCCAGAUCGUCAGCUAAGGUCCCUAAAUGUAAGUUAAGUGGUAAAGGAUGUGGGAUUGCACAGACAACCAGGAUGUUGGCUUAGAAGCAGCCACUCAUUCAAAGAGUGCGUAAUAGCUCACUGGUCGAGUGAUCCUGCGCCGAAGAUUUCCGGGGCUAAAACUUACUACCGAAGCUACGGCAUCAGUAAUGAUGGGUAGGGGAGCUUCCCAUACGGGUUGAAGCAUGACCGUAAGGACAUGUGGACAGUAUGGGAGUGAGAAUGUUGGCAUGAGUAGCGAGAUGUGGGUGAGAAUCCCACAGGCCGUAAACCCAAGGUUUCCAGGGGAAGGUUCGUCCGCCCUGGGUUAGUCGGGACCUAAGCUGAGGCCGAAAGGCGUAGGUGAUGGACAACAGGUUGAU
Molecule: ribosomal RNA, 754 nt
Filed under: Clostridioides difficile
Lineage: Bacteria; Bacillati; Bacillota; Clostridia; Peptostreptococcales; Peptostreptococcaceae
Description: partial 23S ribosomal RNA
Rfam family: Bacterial large subunit ribosomal RNA
Source: RNAcentral